RNAcentral lists this ribosomal RNA (273 nucleotides) under Aspergillus niger. RNAcentral's name for it is "partial large subunit ribosomal RNA". It matches the Rfam family "Eukaryotic large subunit ribosomal RNA", at positions 295 to 568 of the family's 3401-position model. Lineage: Eukaryota; Fungi; Ascomycota; Eurotiomycetes; Eurotiales; Aspergillaceae. The record is from RNAcentral.
CCGAGAACGCGUUCGGCACGGACGCUGCAUAGUGUAACGAUCCCAGCCGAUAGCGAACAAGUAGAGUGAUCGAAAGAUGAAAAGCACUUUGAAAAGAGAGUUAAACAGCACGUGAAAUUGUUGAAAGGGAAGCGCUUGCGACCAGACUCGCCCGCGGGGUUCAGCCGGCAUUCGUGCCGGUGUACUUCCCCGUGGGCGGGCCAGCGUCGGUUUGGGCGGCCGGUCAAAGGCCCCUGGAAUGUAGUACCCUCCGGGGUACCUUAUACCAGGGUG